AGCUCCAGUAGCGUAUAUUAAAGUUGUUGCAGUUAAAAAGCUCGUAGUUGGAUUUCUGGUUUGGCGAACCUGACCCGCUUCUAUUUGGAGUGUGUGUCGGCCGUUGCCUACCAUCCUUCCAGAGAACUUUGCCUCCCCUUCAUUGGGAUGGGCUAGCGAUCUGGAACUUUUACUUUGAAAAAAUUAGAGUGUUCAAAGCAGGCUUUGCGCUAUGAAUACAUUAGCAUGGAAUAAUAAUUUAGGACUACGGUUCUAUUUUGUUGGUUUCUAGAACUGAAGUAAUGAUUGAUAGGGAUAGUUGGGGGUGCUAGUAUUCAGCGGCCAGAGGUGAAAUUCUUGGAUUCGCUGAAGACUAACUUAUGCGAAAGCAUUCACCAAGGAUGUCUUCUUUA
Molecule: ribosomal RNA, 392 nt
Filed under: Pseudopirsonia sp.
Lineage: Eukaryota; Cercozoa; Imbricatea; Marimonadida
Description: partial small subunit ribosomal RNA
Rfam family: Eukaryotic small subunit ribosomal RNA
Source: RNAcentral